Molecule: ribosomal RNA, 498 nt
Filed under: uncultured bacterium
Lineage: Bacteria
Description: partial 16S ribosomal RNA
Rfam family: Bacterial small subunit ribosomal RNA
Source: RNAcentral
AUUGAACGCUGGCGGCAUGCUUUACACAUGCAAGUCGAACGGUAACAGGCCGCAAGGUGCUGACGAGUGGCGAACGGGUGAGUAAUGCAUCGGAACGUGCCCAGUCGUGGGGGAUAACUAUCCGAAAGGAUAGCUAAUACCGCAUACGAUCUGCGGAUGAAAGCGGGGGACCUUCGGGCCUCGCGCGAUUGGAGCGGCCAAUGUCAGAUUAGGUAGUUGGUGGGGUAAAGGCUCACCAAGCCAACGAUCUGUAGCUGGUCUGAGAGGACGACCAGCCACACUGGGACUGAGACACGGCCCAGACUCCUACGGGAGGCAGCAGUGGGGAAUUUUGGACAAUGGGCGCAAGCCUGAUCCAGCAAUGCCGCGUGCAGGAAGAAGGCCUUCGGGUUGUAAACUGCUUUUGUACGGAACGAAACGGCUCUGGUUAAUACCUGGGGCUAAUGACGGUACCGUAAGAAUAAGCACCGGCUAACUACGUGCCAGCAGCCGCCGCGG